Long non-coding RNA from Solanum pennellii, 1146 nucleotides. RefSeq lists it as uncharacterized. Lineage: Eukaryota; Viridiplantae; Streptophyta; Magnoliopsida; Solanales; Solanaceae. The record is from RefSeq and is a predicted model, not a curated record. The transcript has 2 exons.
UUAGGUACUCCUUUUUCGUACUAGUCAAUCACGUGAAAUUUGCAAAAUCUGUCUUAAAAGAUUCAAAUAUUUGAAUUGAAGGACAAUUUAAAAUUUUAUUUUCUGCUCAAGAACAGUGAUUUCACCCUUUAAAUACUUGUAUUUAGUCUCCAAUUGAACAAGAAUUUUAGCCAUUGUUUUGCGCUAAAGUUUUGAAGCGACCUCAUCCCACUCUUAAACUCUUUUUUUGUCCUUGUGUUGCGAUUGUUGGAUCUGAACUUUCUAAUCUUAUCGUUCGAGUUCGAGAAUAGACAUGCGAUUGAAGCACCUGAGUUCACUGCCCAACACAAAUUUGAUGAGCAUUUGGCCUCUAUAUACUCUGCAUGAAGAGACGUGUUGAAAGGAAUGGUGUUGGUUUUGUUUUAGUUAAAAUCAUGUUGCAGAUCAUGUACUUUGGGAGCAAAGAUAUAGAGUUCUGGUUGUAGACACACACAACCUCCCUCCAUGAAGUUUCACUUUUUAGCUUUACGCAUACAAAACAGAGAUUUUAAUUUAGUUUUUUUCCUAAUUAUCUAAUUAGUAUAAUUAUAUGUAUACGUUUCCUUCUAAAUUAUUUUACUGAUGGUUGUGUAAAAAUUUGUCAAGAUCAUGGUUUAAAAGUAAUGUUCUUUGUCGUUUAAAUUUGUGAAACUUGAGAGUACUUACUAUUGUGUUCAAAGACAUGUAUGGUGGCUUGGUUGUUUUGAAUUUGGGAUAAAGUUACCAAUUGCAAGACAAGUAUCUUGAUAAGCUUUGCACGUUUCCGUGUUUUAGAUAGGAUACUCGUUGUAAGAUUUUACUUGGAUUAAGAUUUGACUUGUUCAAUAUUGUUUAAAGUCAAUUCGUUUUACAAAUCUCUUUACUCUUUCUUUCCUUGCAUGAACUUUGGGAGCAAAAAUGGAGUCUCUUCGAAAGACUCUUAGUGUCGCACAUUCUCUUUGUACCGCUAGAUUUUGAAGCAAGCAUCCACUCUUCGACAUUGUGUCUUCCACCUCUUGAUAGGUCGUGCAAAUAGGCAUGGAAAACUAGCGAAGAAUUCUGAAAUUUAUACCUUUUUAGUUUAACAUUUAUGUUAUAUUUGUUUUUAGUGAUGCUUGUGAAUGUCUUAUGCGACACUUUUCUUGCUCA